AGCUGGGGAUUUGAUGAAGGGGGGCAGGGGCAAUCCCCUGCCCCCUUCAUCAAAUCCCCAGCUCCCCUUCACCA
Pelobates cultripes (western spadefoot toad) is the source of this 74-nucleotide non-coding RNA. The record is from the annotation of a GenBank genome assembly. NCBI's taxonomy places the organism in Eukaryota, Metazoa, Chordata, Amphibia, Anura, Pelobatidae.